This 2120-nucleotide ribosomal RNA is filed under the name Salmonella enterica subsp. enterica serovar Montevideo. RNAcentral's name for it is "partial 23S ribosomal RNA". It matches the Rfam family "Bacterial large subunit ribosomal RNA", at positions 711 to 2811 of the family's 2925-position model. The record is from RNAcentral. Lineage: Bacteria; Pseudomonadati; Pseudomonadota; Gammaproteobacteria; Enterobacterales; Enterobacteriaceae.
AGACCCGAAACCCGGUGAUCUAGCCAUGGGCAGGUUGAAGGUUGGGUAACACUAACUGGAGGACCGAACCGACUAAUGUUGAAAAAUUAGCGGAUGACCUGUGGCUGGGGGUGAAAGGCCAAUCAAACCGGGAGAUAGCUGGUUCUCCCCGAAAGCUAUUUAGGUAGCGCCUCGUGAAUUCAUCUCCGGGGGUAGAGCACUGUUUCGGCUAGGGGGCCAUCCCGGCUUACCAACCCGAUGCAAACUGCGAAUACCGGAGAAUGUUAUCACGGGAGACACACGGCGGGUGCUAACGUCCGUCGUGAAGAGGGAAACAACCCAGACCGCCAGCUAAGGUCCCAAAGUCAUGGUUAAGUGGGAAACGAUGUGGGAAGGCCCAGACAGCCAGGAUGUUGGCUUAGAAGCAGCCAUCAUUUAAAGAAAGCGUAAUAGCUCACUGGUCGAGUCGGCCUGCGCGGAAGAUGUAACGGGGCUAAACCAUGCACCGAAGCUGCGGCAGCGACACUCAGGUGUUGUUGGGUAGGGGAGCGUUCUGUAAGCCUGCGAAGGUGGCCUGUGAGGGUUGCUGGAGGUAUCAGAAGUGCGAAUGCUGACAUAAGUAACGAUAAAGCGGGUGAAAAGCCCGCUCGCCGGAAGACCAAGGGUUCCUGUCCAACGUUAAUCGGGGCAGGGUGAGUCGACCCCUAAGGCGAGGCCGAAAGGCGUAGUCGAUGGGAAACGGGUUAAUAUUCCCGUACUUGGUGUUACUGCGAAGGGGGGACGGAGAAGGCUAUGUUGGCCGGGCGACGGUUGUCCCGGUUUAAGCGUGUAGGUGUGUGUUCCAGGUAAAUCCGGUUCACUUUAACACUGAGGCGUGAUGACGAGGCACUACGGUGCUGAAGCAACAAAUGCCCUGCUUCCAGGAAAAGCCUCUAAGCAUCAGGUAACAUCAAAUCGUACCCCAAACCGACACAGGUGGUCAGGUAGAGAAUACCAAGGCGCUUGAGAGAACUCGGGUGAAGGAACUAGGCAAAAUGGUGCCGUAACUUCGGGAGAAGGCACGCUGACACGUAGGUGAAGUGAUUUACUCAUGGAGCUGAAGUCAGUCGAAGAUACCAGCUGGCUGCAACUGUUUAUUAAAAACACAGCACUGUGCAAACACGAAAGUGGACGUAUACGGUGUGACGCCUGCCCGGUGCCGGAAGGUUAAUUGAUGGGGUCAGCGCAAGCGAAGCUCCUGAUCGAAGCCCCGGUAAACGGCGGCCGUAACUAUAACGGUCCUAAGGUAGCGAAAUUCCUUGUCGGGUAAGUUCCGACCUGCACGAAUGGCGUAAUGAUGGCCAGGCUGUCUCCACCCGAGACUCAGUGAAAUUGAACUCGCUGUGAAGAUGCAGUGUACCCGCGGCAAGACGGAAAGACCCCGUGAACCUUUACUAUAGCUUGACACUGAACAUUGAGCCUUGAUGUGUAGGAUAGGUGGGAGGCUUUGAAGUGUGGACGCCAGUCUGCAUGGAGCCGACCUUGAAAUACCACCCUUUAAUGUUUGAUGUUCUAACGUGGACCCGUGAUCCGGGUUGCGGACAGUGUCUGGUGGGUAGUUUGACUGGGGCGGUCUCCUCCUAAAGAGUAACGGAGGAGCACGAAGGUUGGCUAAUCCUGGUCGGACAUCAGGAGGUUAGUGCAAUGGCAUAAGCCAGCUUGACUGCGAGCGUGACGGCGCGAGCAGGUGCGAAAGCAGGUCAUAGUGAUCCGGUGGUUCUGAAUGGAAGGGCCAUCGCUCAACGGAUAAAAGGUACUCCGGGGAUAACAGGCUGAUACCGCCCAAGAGUUCAUAUCGACGGCGGUGUUUGGCACCUCGAUGUCGGCUCAUCACAUCCUGGGGCUGAAGUAGGUCCCAAGGGUAUGGCUGUUCGCCAUUUAAAGUGGUACGCGAGCUGGGUUUAGAACGUCGUGAGACAGUUCGGUCCCUAUCUGCCGUGGGCGCUGGAGAACUGAGGGGGGCUGCUCCUAGUACGAGAGGACCGGAGUGGACGCAUCACUGGUGUUCGGGUUGUCAUGCCAAUGGCACUGCCCGGUAGCUAAAUGCGGAAGAGAUAAGUGCUGAAAGCAUCUAAGCACGAAACUUGCCCCGAGAUGAGUUC